RNAcentral lists this unclassified non-coding RNA (391 nucleotides) under soil metagenome. Its description in RNAcentral is "partial contains 5.8S ribosomal RNA, internal transcribed spacer 2, and large subunit ribosomal RNA". The stretch from base 1 to 122 matches the Rfam family "5.8S ribosomal RNA", at positions 35 to 154 of the family's 154-position model. The record is from RNAcentral.
GAUGAAGAACGUAGCGAAAUGCGAUACUUGGUGUGAAUUGCAGAAUCCCGUGAACCAUCGAGUCUUUGAACGCAAGUUGCGCCCGAAGCCAUUAGGCCGAGGGCACGCCUGCCUGGGCGUCACACGUCGUUGCCCCCCCAUCUACUCCUUCGGGAUUGCGGGGGGCGGAUGAUGGACUCUCGUGCGCCUCGUCGCGCGGUUGGCCUAAAUGCCAAGUCCUCGGCGACGCACGCCACGACAAUCGGUGGUUGCGAAACCUCGGUUGCCUGUCGUGUGCGGUCGUCGCGCAUCGAGGGCUCGAAAAAAUUGCCGGGCUUCGGCUCGACUUUCAACGCGACCCCAGGUCAGGCGGGGUUACCCGCUGAGUUUAAGCAUAUCAAUAAGCGGAGGA